This 72-nucleotide transfer RNA is filed under the name Coemansia sp. RSA 2598. Its description in RNAcentral is "tRNA-Pro". It matches the Rfam family "tRNA". From Rfam's summary of the family: Transfer RNA (tRNA) molecules are approximately 80 nucleotides in length. Their secondary structure includes four short double-helical elements and three loops (D, anti-codon, and T loops). Lineage: Eukaryota; Fungi; Kickxellomycota; Kickxellomycetes; Kickxellales; Kickxellaceae. The record is from RNAcentral.
GGCUUAGUGGUCUAGUGGUAUUAUUCCUGCUUUGGGUGCAGGAGGUCCCGGGUUCAAUCCCCGGCUGAGCCC